CUCAAUGGUGAGCUGGACGGUGGCAUCGCAAGAUGCGCCAGUGUCCAAUAGAGCUGGUAAGGCCAACUCCGUUCAGUUCACCACCAGU
This 88-nucleotide non-coding RNA is filed under the name Proteus vulgaris. Lineage: Bacteria; Pseudomonadati; Pseudomonadota; Gammaproteobacteria; Enterobacterales; Morganellaceae. The record is from RNAcentral.